GAAGGGGAAAAUAUCUUCCAUGGCACCCUUUUCAACAACUCUUUUGUGAGGUCUCUUAAUCUUAUCAGGAGCUUGUACAUCAUAGAUGUAGGAAACAAUACCACGAUCUUUGUAAAUUUGGAAAAUAAGCUCUCCGAUUGUUAGUAAACAUGUAUAUGCGGCCAUAAAUAAGUCAUUCUAAAGAUGUUUAACAACUUUAGUGAUUUUAUUUUGUUUUAAUCAAUCUAUCCAAAACUCUACAUCGAAUAUAUGGAUUGAGGACUCAUCUUUGUAAUUUUCGCCAUAUUGAUUUUUUACCGGAAGUGUUAAUUUUGUAUUGAAACAUAUGCAGCUGAAUAGAAUUAGUGGUUUUGAGGAUGACUUAAAGCCAAAAGUUUAAUGACAACCCCAAAAAAUUUAUUUUAUUUACAGUUUGAAAAAGUUGAAUAUAAAAAUGAAAAAUUAUCAAUAUUUCUAUGUCCGCCAUAUUGGAUAUUACUGGAAGUAAAAAUUUUAAAGACAUAUGUUUUAUACAUUGUAUCCA
RNAcentral lists this long non-coding RNA (523 nucleotides) under Mytilus galloprovincialis (Mediterranean mussel). Lineage: Eukaryota; Metazoa; Mollusca; Bivalvia; Mytilida; Mytilidae. The record is from RNAcentral.